ACUUGGUAGGUAGAAUGAAUAUUCAAGGAGGUCAAUGUUCGAUUGUUAUAAUGCAAAGUUAAUAUAAGUUUGUGAAGUAGUUUGAAUGGUUCUUUGUAGGGGCAUCACCAUGUUUUGGUAAGGAGACAUAGAUUAAAAGUCUUCAGAUCAAUGACUCCUAAAACCCUAAGAGAUUUUGGCCUACAGACAUUUUUCCAUUUGACCAAACAGUUGGCAUCAUAAUAUGGUUUGUUACCUCUUUAUAAAAUUUCUCUUCUCUUCCUAUCAAUAUGUUGAAUAACCGC
Molecule: long non-coding RNA, 284 nt
Filed under: Elaeis guineensis (African oil palm)
Lineage: Eukaryota; Viridiplantae; Streptophyta; Magnoliopsida; Arecales; Arecaceae
Description: long non-coding RNA (EGUI_LNC061061)
Source: RNAcentral